This 514-nucleotide ribosomal RNA is filed under the name uncultured bacterium. RNAcentral describes it as "bacterial SSU rRNA". It matches the Rfam family "Bacterial small subunit ribosomal RNA", at positions 1 to 520 of the family's 1533-position model. The record is from RNAcentral.
GGAUCCAGACUUUGAUUAUGNUCAGGACGAACGCNGGCGGGGCGCNUUACACAUGCNAGUCGAGCGGGAAGCUUUUAAGGAUUCUUCGGAUGAAUUAAAAANUGAGAGCGGCGGACGGGUGAGUAACGCGUGAGAAACCUGCCCUAUACAGGGGGAUAGCCAUUGGAAACGAUGAUUAAUACCCCAUAUGACCACAGUAUCGCAUGAUACAGCGGUGGAAACUCCGGUGGUAUAGGAUGGUCUCGCGUCUGAUUAGCUAGUUGGUGGGGUAACGGCCUACCAAGGCGACGAUCAGUAGCCGGCCUGAGAGGGUGACCGGCCACACUGGAACUGAGACACGGUCCAGACUCCUACGGGAGGCAGCAGUGGGGAAUAUUGCACAAUGGGCGAAAGCCUGAUGCAGCGACGCCGCGUGAACGAUGAAGGCUUUCGAGUCGUAAAGUUCUGUUCUUGGGGAAGAUAACGACGGUACCCAAGGAGAAAGCACCGGCUAAAUACGUGCCAGCAGCCGCGG